Molecule: RNA transcript, 1853 nt
Organism: Medicago truncatula (barrel medic)
Lineage: Eukaryota; Viridiplantae; Streptophyta; Magnoliopsida; Fabales; Fabaceae
Gene name: tobamovirus multiplication protein 1
Exons: 14
Source: RefSeq, a predicted model, not a curated record
AAUCAGAAAGGAAGAGAAAAGAAAAUGCGUCUUAUUUUCUCCACACAAAAACGACCAUAAUUCUUUGCUGGCACAAUCGUUCCCAUUGUUAUCACAAAAUCACAACAGAUUCAUUUCUGUUUUUCCCAUUUUACCCCUCUUCACAAUAUCCUCUUGCGAUGUUUCAUGUGGCGGUGUUGGUAAAUCUCUCUCUUACAUGCACUCGCAUAUAGAUAUAUCAAUAUAUAUAAGAUCGAUCUCUCUCUUCUCUGUGAAUUCAACAAAACCUCUUUCUUCUUCUUCCAUUUUCUUCUACUUUCCUUCAACAACCUUCAGCCAUGGCGGGAUUCGGUGGGGGCCACUGUUUCCCGUAUCCACUCUUCGCUGUCAUCAUUGUCCUUGCUAUUGUUCACGCGAUUCUUGCUUCCAUUGCAACUAUUCAGUCGCUGAGGAUUCACUUGAGAAGUUUACAGCUUGGUUGGACUCGUCAAAAAGUGUUUCAUCUAUUGAUUGGCUCUUCUAACUGGGGUUACUCCAUUUAUUUGGCAUUGAUACUUCUUGCUGCUUGCAAGGGAUGGACAUAUUGGUCACACUCUUGUGGUUUUAUCUUUAUGGCACUCCCCAAAGUACUUUUUUUUGCAGCAUUUCUUCUUCUUUUAUCCUUCUGGGUUGACCUAUGCCAUCAGCCAGACGAUGACGAUGACUAUGAAGGAAGUUUCUCUGAGGAACCUUUGCUGGGAAAGACUUCAAAUGAAUUGAUUUUAACGAACAGGGAUAGACAUAGAAAGUGUUUUCCUAUUCGCUUUUCUCGUCUUGGAUAUCGUCAAAAGAUUGUGACUUUGGUUAUGUUGCUACUUUUCAUCACCAUUGUGGCAUUUGCUGUAAUAAUCUGGAUUGGGCUUGGAAAGAAUCCCAUUGACUCUGAAGUGGCAGCUCGGGUGUACUUGGAUAUUUCUGCUAUUGGAAUGCUUCUCUUAGGCGGCGCACUGGCAUGUUAUGGAAUCCUAUUAUGCUUGAAGAUGAGCAAAGUGAGAGCUGAGAAACCUUCGUCUGAAAUGGGAAAGGUUGCAGGUUUAACAAUAGUCUCUGUACUAUGCUUCACGUCAAGUUCCUGCAUAGAACUUUUUACGGACAUUCCUAUGAUGUUUCACUGGCAUCAGCAGCGUAUGAAUGAUGUAUAUGCCUCUCUUCUGCUGAUUUUGUAUUUUUUUGUGGGUUCAUCAAUACCUUCAGCAGUAGUGCUGUGGGUAAUGAGAGAAUUACCGCCAGCAGAAGCUGCUGAUGUAGUAGAGGAAUCAAGUACAAUCGCUUUUGUUGCUAAUAGUUCAGUUGCUGCUCAUCAUCCUCGGAGCUGGACUACAGCUACAAGCAUGCAAAAUCAGUAGAAAAAUAAUUUUUUACAUGGAUUGCUCUUGACGGUUGAGGCUUUAAGAUUCAAAUUCAUAUUGUUUCUGACGAGUGUCAUCACACAAGUCACAAGACGUCAAGAGCUAGUCCUAUAUAAUCUUUCCAUGUAAAUCUUCUUGUUCCGCUGGAAUUUGGGCACAGCAUAUUGGAGUUUCUUCGGAACAUGUUGAACCUUAGAGCAAAGAUGAGAGAAAAUGAUGAUGGUGGAUGCAAGUACUAAAAGGCCUUGUGAUUUCCAAUCCUAAUGUACUUGCUUUUUAAAUCUAACUAACUGUAUAUAGCAGCGAUUUGAUAUAUGAAAUUUCUUUUCGUGCUAUACAAGUUUUGGGAUGCAAUGUUGGUUUGGAAUCUCUCGGUUCAAAUAACACUUGCCUGAUGUGAAUAUAAAUGUUGCCAAGCGAGCAUGUUAUUCCAACCUGCUUGUAAACUGAAUCAAUAUCACAGUUUUGACAAGGAUCUUUUUACUA